This 620-nucleotide ribosomal RNA is filed under the name Staphylococcus aureus. RNAcentral describes it as "bacterial SSU rRNA". It matches the Rfam family "Bacterial small subunit ribosomal RNA", at positions 183 to 790 of the family's 1533-position model. The record is from RNAcentral. Lineage: Bacteria; Bacillati; Bacillota; Bacilli; Caryophanales; Staphylococcaceae.
GAACCGCAUGGUUCAAAAGUGAAAGACGGUCUUGCUGUCACUUAUAGAUGGAUCCGCGCUGCAUUAGCUAGUUGGUAAGGUAACGGCUUACCAAGGCAACGAUGCGUAGCCGACCUGAGAGGGUGAUCGGCCACACUGGAACUGAGACACGGUCCAGACUCCUACGGGAGGCAGCAGUAGGGAAUCUUCCGCAAUGGGCGAAAGCCUGACGGAGCAACGCCGCGUGAGUGAUGAAGGGUUUCGGCUCGUAAAACUCUGUUAUUAGGGAAGAACAAAUGUGUAAGUAACUGUGCACAUCUUGACGGUACCUAAUCAGAAAGCCACGGCUAACUACGUGCCAGCAGCCGCGGUAAUACGUAGGUGGCAAGCGUUAUCCGGAAUUAUUGGGCGUAAAGCGCGCGUAGGCGGUUUCUUAAGUCUGAUGUGAAAGCCCACGGCUCAACCGGGGAGGGUCAUUGGAAACUGGGAAACUUGAGUGCAGAAGAGGAAAGUGGAAUUCCAUGUGUAGCGGUGAAAUGCGCANAGAUAUGGAGGAACACCAGUGGCGAAGGCGACUUUCUGGUCUGUAACUGACGCUGAUGUGCGAAAGCGUGGGGAUCAAACAGGAUUAGAUACCCUGG